Molecule: transfer RNA, 74 nt
Filed under: Phrynosoma platyrhinos (Desert horned lizard)
Lineage: Eukaryota; Metazoa; Chordata; Lepidosauria; Squamata; Phrynosomatidae
Description: tRNA-OTHER
Rfam family: tRNA
About the family: Transfer RNA (tRNA) molecules are approximately 80 nucleotides in length.
Source: RNAcentral
GAGCAAGCAUGGUAUAAUGGUUUGAGUGUUAGACUAUGACUCUGGAGACCAGGGUUCAAUUCCCUGUUUGCUCA